This 86-nucleotide transfer RNA is filed under the name Sphingopyxis sp. QXT-31. RNAcentral's name for it is "tRNA-Leu". It matches the Rfam family "tRNA". From Rfam's summary of the family: Transfer RNA (tRNA) molecules are approximately 80 nucleotides in length. Their secondary structure includes four short double-helical elements and three loops (D, anti-codon, and T loops). Further hydrogen bonds mediate the characteristic L-shaped molecular structure. tRNAs have two regions of fundamental functional importance: the anti-codon, which is responsible for specific mRNA codon recognition, and the 3' end, to which the tRNAs corresponding amino acid is attached (by aminoacyl-tRNA synthetases). tRNAs cope with the degeneracy of the genetic code in two manners: having more than one tRNA (with a specific anti-codon) for a particular amino acid; and 'wobble' base-pairing, i.e. permitting non-standard base-pairing at the 3rd anti-codon position. RNAcentral also lists the same sequence under 1 other name. The record is from RNAcentral. Lineage: Bacteria; Pseudomonadati; Pseudomonadota; Alphaproteobacteria; Sphingomonadales; Sphingopyxidaceae.
GCGGACGUGGCGAAAUCGGUAGACGCAGCAGACUUAAAAUCUGCCGGCCUCGUGUCAUGCGGGUUCAAGUCCCGCCGUCCGCACCA